RNAcentral lists this long non-coding RNA (356 nucleotides) under Androctonus crassicauda. Lineage: Eukaryota; Metazoa; Arthropoda; Arachnida; Scorpiones; Buthidae. The record is from RNAcentral.
CUCCCUGUCCCCAGGUCUCAGCAAUCCACAGAACUCUGCCUCCUAUCCUUCCUUCCACCUGUCAUCUUUGCUUCUGAGAUAAGAACCAUUUGUGUAACACCAAUACUUACCUAAAGAAAGACAUGCAUUAUGUGGUUGUAAUCAAACCUGAUGCUUUCAGAUGACCUACUUACAUCUUCAAUGUGGAAAAGAUUAAGAACAAAACAAAUUCAUCUAAACUUCUGGGCAAUCCAGUUGACUUUUAAAUGUAAGAAUGGAAUUCCAAACACUUAACACAUUCAGCUAUAUGACGACAGAAAGUAAAUCUAUGGAUAUGGUAUUUUGUGAAUGAUCUUUUAAAUAAAAGAGAACCUUAC